ACACAUGCAGUCGAGCGGCAGCGGGAAAGUAGCUUGCUACUUUUGCCGGCGAGCGGCGGACGGGUGAGUAAUGCCUGGGAAAUUGCCCAGUCGAGGGGGAUAACAGUUGGAAACGACUGCUAAUACCGCAUACGCCCUACGGGGGAAAGCAGGGGACCUUCGGGCCUUGCGCGAUUGGAUAUGCCCAGGUGGGAUUAGCUAGUUGGUGAGGUAAUGGCUCACCAAGGCGACGAUCCCUAGCUGGUCUGAGAGGAUGAUCAGCCACACUGGAACUGAGACACGGUCCAGACUCCUACGGGAGGCAGCAGUGGGGAAUAUUGCACAAUGGGGGAAACCCUGAUGCAGCCAUGCCGCGUGUGUGAAGAAGGCCUUCGGGUUGUAAAGCACUUUCAGCGAGGAGGAAAGGUCAGUAGCUAAUAUCUGCUGACUGUGACGUUACUCGCAGAAGAAGCACCGGCUAACUCCGUGCCAGCAGCCGCGGUAAUGCGGAGGGUGCAAGCGUUAAUCGGAAUUACUGGGCGUAAAGCGCACGCAGGCGGUUGGAUAAGUUAGAUGUGAAAGCCCCGGGCUCAACCUGGGAAUUGCAUUUAAAACUGUCCAGCUAGAGUCUUGUAGAGGGGGGUAGAAUUCCAGGUGUAGCGGUGAAAUGCGUAGAGAUCUGGAGGAAUACCGGUGGCGAAGGCGGCCCCCUGGACAAAGACUGACGCUCA
RNAcentral lists this ribosomal RNA (710 nucleotides) under uncultured bacterium. RNAcentral describes it as "bacterial SSU rRNA". It matches the Rfam family "Bacterial small subunit ribosomal RNA", at positions 51 to 749 of the family's 1533-position model. The record is from RNAcentral.